GAAGGGAAACUGGUUAAUAUUCCAGUACUUGUUUAUAAUAAGCGAUGAGGGGACGCAGCAAGAUAGACCAUCCUGGUGUUGGAAUACCAGGUUUAAGGAAGUAGGUGUGCUAAAUAGGUAAAACCGUUUAGCUAUAACACUGAGAUCUGAUGACGUUGGGUAACCCCCUAUAAAUGGUUAAUUCUAUACUGCCAAGAAAAGCCUCUAAGUAGUAGUUAUAAUCAAACCGUACCGUAAACCAACACAGGUGGGUAGGAAGAGAAUUCUAAGGCGCUUGAG
RNAcentral lists this ribosomal RNA (279 nucleotides) under Ctenophora environmental sample. Its description in RNAcentral is "partial Bacterial large subunit ribosomal RNA". It matches the Rfam family "Bacterial large subunit ribosomal RNA", at positions 1417 to 1694 of the family's 2925-position model. The record is from RNAcentral. Lineage: Eukaryota; Metazoa; Ctenophora.